This 520-nucleotide small RNA is filed under the name uncultured Glomus. RNAcentral describes it as "SSU rRNA". It matches the Rfam family "Eukaryotic small subunit ribosomal RNA", at positions 569 to 1093 of the family's 1831-position model. The record is from RNAcentral. Lineage: Eukaryota; Fungi; Glomeromycota; Glomeromycetes; Glomerales; Glomeraceae.
AGCAGCCGCGGUAAUUCCAGCUCCAAUAGCGUAUAUUAAAGUUGUUGCAGUUAAAAGCUCGUAGUUGAAUUUCGGGAUUAAUUUACUGGUCGUGCUAUCGUACGUACUGGUUUUAUUGAUUCCUCCCUUCUGACGAACUAUGAUGUCAUUAAUUUGGUGUCAUAGGAAAUCAGGACUGUUACUUUGAAAAAUUAGAGUGUUUAAAGCAGGCUCACGCUUGAAUACAUUAGCAUGGAAUAACGGAAUAGGACGUUUGAUUCUAUUUUGUUGGUUUCUAGGAUCGACGUAAUGAUUAAUAGGGAUAGUUGGGGGCAUUAGUAUUCAAUUGUCAGAGGUGAAAUUCUUGGAUUUAUUGAAGACUAACUACUGCGAAAGCAUUUGCCAAGGAUGUUUUCAUUAAUCAAGAACGAAAGUUAGGGGAUCGAAGACGAUCAGAUACCGUCGUAGUCUUAACCAUAAACUAUGCCGACUAGGGAUCGGAUGAUGUUAAUUUUUUAAUGACUCAUUCGGCGCCUUACGG